UGGCUCAGACUCUGCGGCUGGAUCACCUCCUUAGAGUUUGAUCCUGGCUCAGACUCUGCGGCUGGAUCACCUCCUUAGAGUUUGAUCCUGGCUCAGAUUGAACGCUGGCGGCAGGCCUAACACAUGCAAGUCGAACGGUAACAGGAAUCAGCUUGCUGAUUCGCUGACGAGUGGCGGACGGGUGAGUAAUGUCUGGGAAACUGCCUGAUGGAGGGGGAUAACUACUGGAAACGGUAGCUAAUACCGCAUAACGUCGCAAGACCAAAGAGGGGGACCUUCGGGCCUCUUGCCAUCGGAUGUGCCCAGAUGGGAUUAGCUAGUAGGUGGGGUAACGGCUCACCUAGGCGACGAUCCCUAGCUGGUCUGAGAGGAUGACCAGCCACACUGGAACUGAGACACGGUCCAGACUCCUACGGGAGGCAGCAGUGGGGAAUAUUGCACAAUGGGCGCAAGCCUGAUGCAGCCAUGCCGCGUGUAUGAAGAAGGCCUUCGGGUUGUAAAGUACUUUCAGCGGGGAGGAAGGGAGUAAAGUUAAUACCUUUGCUCAUUGACGUUACCCGCAGAAGAAGCACCGGCUAACUCCGUGCCAGCAGCCGCGGUAAUACGGAGGGUGCAAGCGUUAAUCGGAAUUACUGGGCGUAAAGCGCACGCAGGCGGUUUGUUAAGUCAGAUGUGAAAUCCCCGGGCUCAACCUGGGAACUGCAUCUGAUACUGGCAAGCUUGAGUCUCGUAGAGGGGGGUAGAAUUCCAGGUGUAGCGGUGAAAUGCGUAGAGAUCUGGAGGAAUACCGGUGGCGAAGGCGGCCCCCUGGACGAAGACUGACGCUCAGGUGCGAAAGCGUGGGGAGCAAACAGGAUUAGAUACCCCUGGUAGUCCACGCCGUAAACGAUGUCGACUUGGAGGUUGUGCCCUUGAGGCGUGGCUUCCCGGAGCUAACGCGUUAAGUCGACCGCCUGGGGAGUACGGCCGCAAGGUUAAAACUCAAAUGAAUUGACGGGGGCCCGCACAAGCGGUGGAGCAUGUGGUUUAAUUCGAUGCAACGCGAAGAACCUUACCUGGUCUUGACAUCCACAGAACUUUCCAGAGAUGGAUUGGUGCCUUCGGGAACUGUGAGACAGGUGCUGCAUGGCUGUCGUCAGCUCGUGUUGUGAAAUGUUGGGUUAAGUCCCGCAACGAGCGCAACCCUUAUCCUUUGUUGCCAGCGGUCCGGCCGGGAACUCAAAGGAGACUGCCAGUGAUAAACUGGAGGAAGGUGGGGAUGACGUCAAGUCAUCAUGGCCCUUACGACCAGGGCUACACACGUGCUACAAUGGCGCAUACAAAGAGAAGCGACCUCGCGAGAGCAAGCGGACCUCAUAAAGUGCGUCGUAGUCCGGAUUGGAGUCUGCAACUCGACUCCAUGAAGUCGGAAUCGCUAGUAAUCGUGGAUCAGAAUGCCACGGUGAAUACGUUCCCGGGCCUUGGGGGGGGGCGCCCGU
This 1478-nucleotide ribosomal RNA is filed under the name Escherichia fergusonii. Its description in RNAcentral is "bacterial SSU rRNA". It matches the Rfam family "Bacterial small subunit ribosomal RNA". Lineage: Bacteria; Pseudomonadati; Pseudomonadota; Gammaproteobacteria; Enterobacterales; Enterobacteriaceae. The record is from RNAcentral. RNAcentral also lists the same sequence under 2 other names.